Microplitis mediator is the source of this 982-nucleotide long non-coding RNA. RefSeq lists it as uncharacterized. NCBI's taxonomy places the organism in Eukaryota, Metazoa, Arthropoda, Insecta, Hymenoptera, Braconidae. The transcript has 4 exons. The record is from RefSeq and is a predicted model, not a curated record.
UUGAUACUUUUGUUAAAUGACAUGCAAUAAGUCAAUGAAUAAAAAAAAAAUAUAUGCAAAUGCAAUUAAUUUUCUCUAAGUCGUUUCGACUUCUGUUCCUUCCUAUAAAUUAUUAUAAAAUCAAUUAUUAUUAUUUGUUUUAUUUUGCUUUAAAAUUUGUUAUUAUAGGUUCUUUUUUAGAGGUCUACCGAUAAUUACACGUUCAGAGGAGCUGACGAACUCGGCCAUAUACGCAACAUUCAUGAGGAUGGAACAGCGCAUGCGUCGUAUUUGAAUAUUUUAAUGAGAAGCUUUCUGACUAUUAUCAACGUCUGUUACGUGCCUGUCUGAUAAGUAGUCGAAGUGGUUAUUGGAGAUAUAUUUGAGGAUGUGGGAAGUUAUCUAUAAUAAUAAACUUAUAUUAGCAACGUCUGUUAAGUGCCUGUCUGAUAAGUAGUCGAAGCGGUUAUUGGAGAUAUAUUUUAGGCUGUGGGAAGUUAACUAAAAUAAUAAACUUAUAUUAACGUGAAUAAUUUAGCCUUAAAAUUAAACAAAAAUUUACUGAUAUUUAUAUCGGAAAUAUACUUUGAUACUAAUAAUAGUACAUUAUCAUUAGUUAUACCGCAUAAUACGUGAUAAAAACAUUAUUUGUCAUUUAAGAACAUCGCUAACGGUAAUAAAAUUAUUUUAUUAUCAAUAACCGUUGGAAUAAUUUUGAUAUACAAUAGCUGUAUUUUGAGAAACGAAUCGUGUAAAAACGAUACAAGCUCGGCUAUUGAUAAAGAAACUUUUCGAUUAUACGUAUCUGCAGUGCGAAUUCGAAUUGAAUAAAACAUAUGCGACUUUUAAGAAUAAAAUAAACUAACUGCUUAUAAAAUAAUAUCUACAAUAAUAAAAGAUUGAAAUUUUACAUUGAAUGAUUACAAACGAAUAUUAAGAAAAACAAGUUAUAAAAAAUCGAAUUGCUAAGAAUUGUGAACCUAAUAAGAAUAAAUGAUAUAAA